This 268-nucleotide long non-coding RNA is filed under the name Homo sapiens (human). RNAcentral's name for it is "non-protein coding lnc-MCTP2-14:1". Lineage: Eukaryota; Metazoa; Chordata; Mammalia; Primates; Hominidae. The record is from RNAcentral.
GCACAGGAUGCCCUACAAGUCAUUCGGCCCAAAAAAGUCAAGAGCCCUGCUGUUGAGAAAUCUUAAUUUAGCACAAUGUACUUGAGAUUCAUUCAUAUUGUUGUAUGCUUCAAUAGUUAAUUUUAUUGCUGAGUAGCAUUCCAUUGUGUGGAUGUACGACAAUUUAUUUACCCAUUUAUCCCUGUAAAACAUCUGGAUUGUUUCCAAGUGUGAACAACUAUAAAUAAUGCUGCUGUAAACCUGCAUGCACAGGUUUUGAAUGACAUGU